Molecule: ribosomal RNA, 253 nt
Filed under: uncultured bacterium
Lineage: Bacteria
Description: partial 16S ribosomal RNA
Rfam family: Bacterial small subunit ribosomal RNA
Source: RNAcentral
UACGUAGGGGGCAAGCGUUGUCCGGAAUUAUUGGGCGUAAAGAGCGCGUAGGCGGUCCGAUAAGUCGGCUGUGAAAGUCAGGGGCUCAACCCUUGAAAGCCGGCCGAUACUGUCGGACUAGAGUCCGGAAGAGGCAAGUGGAAUUCCCGGUGUAGCGGUGAAAUGCGCAGAUAUCGGGAGGAACACCAAUGGCGAAGGCAGCUCGCUGGGACGUUACUGACGCUGAGACGCGCAAGCGUGGGGAGCAAACAGG